UUAAGCGACUAAGCGUACACGGUGGAUGCCCUGGCAGUCAGAGGCGAUGAAGGACGUGCUAAUCUGCGAAAAGCGCCGGCGAGGUGAUAUGAACCUUUGACCCGGCGAUGUCCGAAUGGGGAAACCCAGUGCAAUUCGUUGCACUAUCGUUAACUGAAUACAUAGGUUAACGAGGCGAACCGGGGGAACUGAAACAUCUAAGUACCCCGAGGAAAAGAAAUCAACCGAGAUUCCCCCAGUAGCGGCGAGCGAACGGGGAGGAGCCCAGAGUCUGAAUCAGCGUGUGUGUUAGUGGAACGGUCUGGAAAGUCCGGCGAUACAGGGUGACAGCCCCGUACACGAAAGCACACAGGCUGUGAACUCGAAGAGUAGGGCGGGACACGUGGUAUCCUGUCUGAAUAUGGGGGGACCAUCCUCCAAGGCUAAAUACUCCUGACUGACCGAUAGUGAACCAGUACCGUGAGGGAAAGGCGAAAAGAACCCCGGCGAGGGGAGUGAAAAAGAACCUGAAACCGUGUACGUACAAGCAGUGGGAGCCCCACCACUAAGCCAGUGGUGAGUCCACGUCAGCAUCCUUUGCCGAAGGUAAGGUUAACGGAGCGCAAGCGACGUUCAACCUCAAAAGAAGCAGAGGGGGCUUAGUGGUGGGGUGACUGCGUACCUUUUGUAUAAUGGGUCAGCGACUUAUAUUCUGUAGCAAGGUUAACCGAAUAGGGGAGCCGAAGGGAAACCGAGUCUUAACUGGGCGUUAAGUUGCAGGGUAUAGACCCGAAACCCGGUGAUCUAGCCAUGGGCAGGUUGAAGGUUGGGUAACACUAACUGGAGGACCGAACCGACUAAUGUUGAAAAAUUAGCGGAUGACCUGUGGCUGGGGGUGAAAGGCCAAUCAAACCGGGAGAUAGCUGGUUCUCCCCGAAAGCUAUUUAGGUAGCGCCUCGUGAACUCAUCUUCGGGGGUAGAGCACUGUUUCGGCUAGGGGGUCAUCCCGACUUACCAACCCGAUGCAAACUGCGAAUACCGAAGAAUGUUAUCACGGGAGACACACGGCGGGUGCUAACGUCCGUCGUGAAGAGGGAAACAACCCAGACCGCCAGCUAAGGUCCCAAAGUCAUGGUUAAGUGGGAAACGAUGUGGGAAGGCCCAGACAGCCAGGAUGUUGGCUUAGAAGCAGCCAUCAUUUAAAGAAAGCGUAAUAGCUCACUGGUCGAGUCGGCCUGCGCGGAAGAUGUAACGGGGCUAAACCAUGCACCGAAGCUGCGGCAGCGACGCUUAUGCGUUGUUGGGUAGGGGAGCGUUCUGUAAGCCGUCGAAGGUGUGCUGUGAGGCAUGCUGGAGGUAUCAGAAGUGCGAAUGCUGACAUAAGUAACGAUAAAGCGGGUGAAAAGCCCGCUCGCCGGAAGACCAAGGGUUCCUGUCCAACGUUAAUCGGGGCAGGGUGAGUCGACCCCUAAGGCGAGGCCGAAAGGCGUAGUCGAUGGGAAACAGGUUAAUAUUCCUGUACUUGGUGUUACUGCGAAGGGGGGACGGAGAAGGCUAUGUUAGCCGGGCGACGGUUGUCCCGGUUUAAGCAUGUAGGCGGAGGUUCCAGGUAAAUCCGGUACCUUUUAACGCUGAGGUGUGAUGACGAGGCACUACGGUGCUGAAGUAACAAAUGCCCUGCUUCCAGGAAAAGCCUCUAAGCAUCAGGUAACACGAAAUCGUACCCCAAACCGACACAGGUGGUCAGGUAGAGAAUACCAAGGCGCUUGAGAGAACUCGGGUGAAGGAACUAGGCAAAAUGGUGCCGUAACUUCGGGAGAAGGCACGCUGACAUGUAGGUGAAGCCCCUGCGGGUGGAGCUGAAGUCAGUCGAAGAUACCAGCUGGCUGCAACUGUUUAUUAAAAACACAGCACUGUGCAAACACGAAAGUGGACGUAUACGGUGUGACGCCUGCCCGGUGCCGGAAGGUUAAUUGAUGGGGUUAUCCUUAGGGAGAAGCUCUUGAUCGAAGCCCCGGUAAACGGCGGCCGUAACUAUAACGGUCCUAAGGUAGCGAAAUUCCUUGUCGGGUAAGUUCCGACCUGCACGAAUGGCGUAAUGAUGGCCAGGCUGUCUCCACCCGAGACUCAGUGAAAUUGAACUCGCUGUGAAGAUGCAGUGUACCCGCGGCAAGACGGAAAGACCCCGUGAACCUUUACUAUAGCUUGACACUGAACAUUGAGCCUUGAUGUGUAGGAUAGGUGGGAGGCUUUGAAGCGUGGACGCCAGUCUGCGUGGAGCCAACCUUGAAAUACCACCCUUUAAUGUUUGAUGUUCUAACCUGGCGCCGUAAUCCGGCGUGGGGACAGUGUCUGGUGGGUAGUUUGACUGGGGCGGUCUCCUCCUAAAGAGUAACGGAGGAGCACGAAGGUUGGCUAAUCCUGGUCGGACAUCAGGAGGUUAGUGCAAUGGCAUAAGCCAGCUUGACUGCGAGCGUGACGGCGCGAGCAGGUGCGAAAGCAGGUCAUAGUGAUCCGGUGGUUCUGAAUGGAAGGGCCAUCGCUCAACGGAUAAAAGGUACUCCGGGGAUAACAGGCUGAUACCGCCCAAGAGUUCAUAUCGACGGCGGUGUUUGGCACCUCGAUGUCGGCUCAUCACAUCCUGGGGCUGAAGUAGGUCCCAAGGGUAUGGCUGUUCGCCAUUUAAAGUGGUACGCGAGCUGGGUUUAGAACGUCGUGAGACAGUUCGGUCCCUAUCUGCCGUGGGCGCUGGAGAAUUGAGGGGGGCUGCUCCUAGUACGAGAGGACCGGAGUGGACGCAUCACUGGUGUUCGGGUUGUCAUGCCAAUGGCAUUGCCCGGUAGCUACAUGCGGAAGAGAUAAGUGCUGAAAGCAUCUAAGCACGAAACUUGCCCCGAGAUGAGUUCUCCCUGAGACUUAGAGUCUCCUGAAGGAACGUUGAAGACGACGACGUUGAUAGGCCGGGUGUGUAAGCGCAGCGAUGCGUUGAGCUAACCGGUACUAAUGAACCGUGAGGCUUAACCUU
This 3004-nucleotide ribosomal RNA is filed under the name Pluralibacter gergoviae. Its description in RNAcentral is "bacterial LSU rRNA". It matches the Rfam family "Bacterial large subunit ribosomal RNA". Lineage: Bacteria; Pseudomonadati; Pseudomonadota; Gammaproteobacteria; Enterobacterales; Enterobacteriaceae. The record is from RNAcentral.